AGUUAAAAGAUUGUUGCAGGUGUGGCUGCUGUGUCACAUGUGUGCCAGUAGGUGGAAGAGAGGAGUCAGGCUAUGUCUACACUCAAUGUUCUGACCUGCGGACAUCUGAAUGAACAGUAUUCUAUUACU
Small nucleolar RNA from Meriones unguiculatus (Mongolian gerbil), 129 nucleotides. NCBI's taxonomy places the organism in Eukaryota, Metazoa, Chordata, Mammalia, Rodentia, Muridae. The record is from Ensembl.